RNAcentral lists this ribosomal RNA (551 nucleotides) under soil bacterium LMM-P1-22. Its description in RNAcentral is "bacterial SSU rRNA". It matches the Rfam family "Bacterial small subunit ribosomal RNA", at positions 355 to 896 of the family's 1533-position model. The record is from RNAcentral.
UAGGGAAUCUUCCGCAAUGGACGAAAGUCUGACGGAGCAACGCCGCGUGAGUGAUGAAGGUUUUCGGAUCGUAAAACUCUGUUGUUAGGGAAGAACAAGUAUCGUUCGAAUAGGGCGGUACCUUGACGGUACCUAACCAGAAAGCCACGGCUAACUACGUGCCAGCAGCCGCGGUAAUACGUAGGUGGCAAGCGUUGUCCGGAAUUAUUGGGCGUAAAGCGCGCGCAGGCGGUUUCUUAAGUCUGAUGUGAAAUCUUGCGGCUCAACCGCAAGCGGCCAUUGGAAACUGGGAGACUUGAGUGCAGAAGAGGAGAGUGGAAUUCCACGUGUAGCGGUGAAAUGCGUAGAGAUGUGGAGGAACACCAGUGGCGAAGGCGACUCUCUGGUCUGUAACUGACGCUGAGGCGCGAAAGCGUGGGGAGCGAACAGGAUUAGAUACCCUGGUAGUCCACGCCGUAAACGAUGAGUGCUAAGUGUUAGAGGGUUUCCGCCCUUUAGUGCUGCAGCUAACGCAUUAAGCACUCCGCCUGGGGAGUACGGCCGCAAGGCUG